GAGAUGGUUGGAUGGCAUCACCGACUCAAUGGACAAGUUUGAGCAAGCUCAUGGAGAUAGUGAAGGACAGGGAAGCCUGGUGUGCUUCAGUCCUUGGGGUUGCAAAGAGUCAGACACGACUGAGCUGCUGAACCACCACCACCACCACAAAGAUCAGCCAUAAUAGCAAAACACCAAGGUGAACACGAUGAAGUCAACCCCGCAGCGGCGGGGCCUCACUCACUGCCGCACGCCCUGGUAACUGAGACGGUGUGGGGCUGGAAGAGAGGGGAGGAGGGUGAGCGCCGGGCUCCCAGGCGCCGCCCCCGCUCUCCUCUCCCCGCUCCACAAGACGGGCCAUCUGGCUCUCAGGAUGGGGGCGGGUGCGCUGCCGUGACAGCUCCACCGUCACUUCAGGAGGCUCGUCACUUCAGGAGGCUCGUCACGGCGGAGGGGACAGCCGUCCCUGCUUGAUGCCCCAGGGCUUUGUGAAGGCUCCUCGUUGAGCUCAGAAGACAGCUCCACGGGACACUGCUAAAUCAUUAAUUCCAAAUCCAGCAUCCCAGGGCUCUGGAAGGUCUCCCCCCUUCUUGCUGGUCACUUCACUCCCAUCCCGACCAGGAGGUGUAGCUGGGCGGCUCACUUGGGAUGUCCUUCAUGGUGAAGCUUCUCUGUGCUGGAGACAGAGAUCCCACUGACCCGACAUUCGACUCCCCCACCUCCCCUCCCCGCUAGCCCCAUUCAGCUCAGAAAGACCUCCCAGAGCCCUGCACAGAACUGCAGCCUGGGUGCUGCACACACACCCAACAUCCCCCUGGCUCCAGAAAACAACCUGAAAGCCAGCUCUCUGACCUUCUGAGUGAGGGGAAGUCGGGGCUGGAUGAGGGGUAGCCAUGCACACCACGCCCAUCUAGCUUCAAAGAUCCGGGAACCCUACGGCAUAUUCUGGGCGGGAACUCGGGUUCUCUCUCGUACCUUGUCUAGAGGUACCUUGGACUAGAGAAGCAUAAAUGAACGCUUUUCAGUGAACCAAAAGGAUGUGGAAGGAAACCAGUUCCUCCCCCCUCCCCCAAUAUAGUUCAGCUUAAGUUUCAAGAAUUUUAAUCAUUGAGUUGAGGACAGAAUUAAUACUAAGUAAAGCUGUGACCUGGGAUAUUUACAGGGCUUCAGAGGUUAAUGUCAUUUCACUAGCAGCUGGGGACUCAGAUCCCAGAAGAGGCUCUAGGCAGGUGGGAAGCAUGGGGGCUGUUCUGUUGGUCUUUAGAAUAAAAUUCACGACACAGUGGCUGUCUUAGUGGGGAUUUACAAAAGCUAAUGGUUUUCCCAAUAAGACGUCCAAUCAAGGUCCGUCUAGUCAAGGCUAUGGUUUUUCCAGUGGUCAUGUAUGG
Molecule: long non-coding RNA, 1367 nt
Filed under: Capra hircus (goat)
Lineage: Eukaryota; Metazoa; Chordata; Mammalia; Artiodactyla; Bovidae
Description: lncRNA (ENSCHIG00010017451.1)
Source: RNAcentral